This 921-nucleotide long non-coding RNA is filed under the name Homo sapiens (human). RNAcentral describes it as "HSALNT0110218". The record is from RNAcentral. Lineage: Eukaryota; Metazoa; Chordata; Mammalia; Primates; Hominidae.
GAUUAGAAGAUUAGGACACAGACACACAGAAAGAGGGUCAUGUGAGGACACAGGCAGAAAGUCAUCAUCUGUAAGCCAGGGUGAGGCUUCAGAAGAAACCAACCCUGCCAACACCUGGAUCUCAGACUCUAGUCUCAAGAAUUUUGAAAAAAAAAAAAAAAUUUUGUUGUUUAAGACACCCGGCCUAUAGUACUUUGAUGUGGCAGCCUUAGCUAAUGAAUACACUGGUUGUCAACCUUGGCUGCUCAAUAGAACCACCUGUAGUUACAAACAAUAAAAUUAAAAUAAAAUGAAAUAACAUCCAUGCUAAUUAAAUCAUAAUGGAGCAAGGGAUUGUGAAGGGAGUACACGGUACAAUAAAGCCAACAGAUGAAGAGACAACUGCCAUUGAAAAGAUAAUUUGUUAUACUCUUAGAUCCCAAAAAAAGGAAGGUCAUACUAGGAAUCACCAAGCUUGGCCAUGAGGCAGAAGGAGAGCAACAGACUAUGGUCCAGAUCCUUUAUUGUGGUUUCUACAGGAAGGAACAGGCAAAGCAGGGUAAGCAGCCUUACAAUUGGCUAGUUUGGAAUAAUUUCAGCAGGCUCUGGGGCAUAAGGGCUGGUUCUGGUUGUCUGGUACCUGGUCCUGGGGUGAUCAGGGCUGAUGUCUAGUGCCCCUGAGUGUGAAAGCCUGAUAAACCGGUGAUUGGAGGAGUGGACUUAAUUGGCUGCUCAGAAAGGGAACUGAACAGCCUCUAUCCAGGGCAUGCAAACUGGAUCAAGACGCUAUUUAAAAAACUAUAUACAAUUGAUCUUUUGAUGUUUCAACAUCAGUUUUGAGCUCUAUUAUCUGAGACAUUUGAAUGACAAGAAUAGUAGAGAAGUUCAGAGAGUAGGGCACAAGAUGCCCUGAAGAGUCUAGAAAAUAUUUCAGUAUGAAAG